Molecule: ribosomal RNA, 396 nt
Filed under: uncultured bacterium
Lineage: Bacteria
Description: partial 16S ribosomal RNA
Rfam family: Bacterial small subunit ribosomal RNA
Source: RNAcentral
CCUACGGGGGGCUGCAGUGGGGAAUAUUGCACAAUGGGGGAAACCCUGAUGCAGCGACGCCGCGUGAGUGAAGAAGUAUUUCGGUAUGUAAAGCUCUAUCAGCAGGGAAGAAAUAAAGUCCUUUGGACUUUGGACGGUACCUGACUAAGAAGCCCCGGCUAACUACGUGCCAGCAGCCGAGGUAAUACGUAGGGGGCAAGGGGUAGCCGGAUUUACUGGGGGUAAAGGGAGCGUAGACGGCCGCGCAAGUCUGUAGUGAAAUCCCCGGGAUGAACCCUGGAACGGCUGUGGAUACUGGGCGGCUUGAGUGCAGGAGAGGUGAGCAGAAUUCCUGGUGUAGCGGUGAAAUGCGUAGAGAUUAGGAGGAAGACCGGUGGCGAAGGCGGCUUCCUGGAC